RNAcentral lists this ribosomal RNA (253 nucleotides) under uncultured bacterium. Its description in RNAcentral is "partial 16S ribosomal RNA". It matches the Rfam family "Bacterial small subunit ribosomal RNA", at positions 524 to 776 of the family's 1533-position model. The record is from RNAcentral.
UACGAAGGGUGCAAGCGUUAAUCGGAAUUACUGGGCGUAAAGGGUGCGUAGGCGGUUCGUUAAGUCGGAUGUGAAAGCCCUGGGCUCAACCUGGGAAUGGCAUCCGAAACUGGCGGGCUGGAGUGCGGUAGAGGAUGGUGGAAUUCCCGGUGUAGCGGUGAAAUGCGUAGAGAUCGGGAGGAACACCAGUGGCGAAGGCGGCCAUCUGGACCAGCACUGACGCUGAGGCACGAAAGCGUGGGGAGCAAACAGG